GACUCUGUGGUGAAGUUCAUGUUGAGUUGCAAGCUCAUUGAUGCACGCUGAAGGUGUGCCGGAGUCU
Molecule: transfer RNA, 67 nt
Filed under: Glareola pratincola
Lineage: Eukaryota; Metazoa; Chordata; Aves; Charadriiformes; Glareolidae
Description: tRNA-Cys
Source: RNAcentral